Molecule: long non-coding RNA, 2910 nt
Organism: Acinonyx jubatus (cheetah)
Lineage: Eukaryota; Metazoa; Chordata; Mammalia; Carnivora; Felidae
Exons: 4
Source: RefSeq, a predicted model, not a curated record
UCUAAAAUUAUCAGGCAGUCAAAGAAGAUAAGUAGAUCUGCUAGUCAAAAGAGAAAAACAAUAGCUUUUUCUGUAAUAUUUCUAUGAAAAGGCAAAACAAUUAAUGGCCAAUAAUUUUUAAAUGUGCUCGCACACACCAUCUCAACUGGUCCUCAAAAGAAUCUUACAGAAAUAGAAGCAUAUGAGGGAAUAAAGGAUGUGACAGAGACCACUCGGUUCCAUCACUUGUUAACCCUGGGAACUUGGAGUAUUGAAAUCAAAUAGGUACUUAAAGCAUAUCUCAACAUGGACCAUCCAUGCUUCAAGGGUUUAGUAACCAUCUGCAGCUAGUGGCUAUUGCCCUGGACAGUGCUUAAGGGAAGGCCAAGAAGAGAAUGGGGAAGAAUGAAGAUAAGGGUAUUGGCAGCUUCAUCCGGUUCACCUCAGUGCUCUCCCAGAGAAAGAGGCGACAUGCCUGCCUAGAAGGAAAGUGAGGGAUGGAUGUGAAGGGAAGAUCGGAUUUGGAGCAGGUGCCAGGCAAAUCCUUACAAACCAGUAAACUGGGACUCUUCAUGAAUUCUUGCACUCUCAGUGAGAUUUGUAGUGACAGUUUUCGGUUCAAAAGUGCAUUCUUGUAACUAGACUACAUGGGAUCAUCCAGUGGAAUGAAGUCCAGUAUCACAUACACAGCUGUACUCUGAGAAGUAAUUUUAGACGUCAAGAUAAUGUAUGUCGAAGCUGUGCAAAACCACAACCCACCAGUGGAUCACGAUGCCUUUUGGCAAAUGCUGUUUAUUGUGUUAGUCUCUGGCUGUACAAUGAUCUGGAAAGCUGAACGACUGGAAUUUGUCACUUAAGCCAUUCAUCCUCAGCUGCCAAGAGGUGGGCACAUUCUGACCUCUGGAAUUAAAGUUGGGCAGAGUUCCAUACACUAUCCUACUAAGAAUGUGGUCACUAUAGCUCCAAUAAAGACAUCCUGUUUCAGCAAUACGGUGUAAAGAAAACUUCACAACUAUCAAAUGGUUUGGAUGUUUUCCAUUCAUUUUUAGUUGGUAGACGUCCAUUUUCUUUUUACUUAUGUCUAAACUAAUUGUGUGUCUUGAUAUUACAUUUUUUUCUAUAGCUCUAACCUAAAAACAGCUGAAGUUAUUUUCCUGAAUACACAUAAAAACUCCUGAGCUGAGACCUGAUAUAUCAAGUUUCAGCCUGAAGAAUUUUUUUGAGCCGAUGGUUUAUGCUGAAAACGCUGACAGAUGUCGAACAGCCUCAGCAAAGCAAUCUUUAAGGGAGUUCUGGGCAACAGCCCAUGUGGCUGCUUUGAAAGUGCUAAAUUCUUGUUGCUAAAUAAUUUUAUUUAAAAAAAAUCCUAUGAUUUAUUAUAUUAAUAUUUUAACAGAUAUUUGGAGAAAGCCAUCAAUUAAUUACUCUGUCGCUAACUUUUGGAACUUGUUAGUUCUUAUUUUGCAUUUUCUUUGGGCACAAGAAAUUCUAUAUUCAUCAUUCUAAAGGGCCAGAUAAGAGCCAGGCUUCAGAAAUUAUGACCUUUAAAGCAUAAAGUAGAUACAGAAAAUUUUAAAACUGCUGCAAGAAGUCCCCGAAACCAAGAGAAUCUAGAUGGUAAACAUCUGCUAAAUUUGUGGCAGUGAUUUUUCUUUCCUGGUAUUUUAAAAUAUGAGUCAGAGGACUCAAACUACAAACUACAUACGUCUGAUCAGAAGCAACUGAAUGUUUAUAAGUAUUCUACAGGGGGUUCGGACUGUCCCAGGAGGGUAAUAUUUUAAAGGACAUCAGUGGAUGCAAAUGAAUCUCAGCCAUAAGAAGGAAGAAGAGGUGAAUAGUACUUUUGUCUCUGGGAGACUUGGAAUUUCAGACAGGCUCCAUUUUGGAGAAUUCUAUUUAGCUUGCCUGCAUUUGCUGAUGUUGUUUCAGUUGGGAAUGGGAGAAUGAUAUUCCUUAUCCCUGCAUCCUGAACUGUUCAGCAGUGUUAUGCUAUGCUGUUAACAGCUGGCAAGUUCCAUGGAUAUGCAGAUGGAAGAGUUCCCGCUGAUAUAAAAAGAUCUUAUGAAUUGUGUCUUGUGUAAAAGAGAGCAAAAUCCUUUUUACAAAGUAAGUAUAACAUGAGUAAGAACGGCAGUUUUUUUCUUCCCCUGUUGGUCUCUAGCCAACUCUCGUCUCUGACAGUCUAAUACAUAAUCUAGACACUUUACUGCAUUGCUGUGCUCCUUGGAAAACUGUUUUUACAUUUUUUUUCUCCAAAGCUAAGCACUUCCUUUCUUCCUUUCUAGUUACGCCAUGGUAGUUAGCAAUCUUCUAAAUGUCUGAAUGCUGCAUAAAUAAUUAAGUGGCACAGAAUGUGUUGUUUUGCAAAGUAAAAAAAAAUCCACCCAUCUAGAUUCAUGAGCAUAUUAAGUCAUUAGCAAGAGGAAUAUUCCACCUACAAGAAAUACACUAAUGAGAUAAAAUGGAAGGGUGUGAAAAAUGUGAGCAACUUUACAAUGUUACCACCAUACCAGAAAGCCCUAAGAAUGGAAAGGCCAAGUCAAUGGCCACUCAACAUGCAGAAGAAAAAAGAUAUUCUAUAACAGCUUUUAUUUAUCUUCUUUGUUUGAAAAAAAAUGAUGGAGUGAUUAUUUGUAAUGUAAAAUAUAAAAAUAUCCACUAGGGUUAUCAUUUGGACCAUCUGAGAAAACAACAGGCCUUUUUAUUUUCAGAAAUCUAUACCAAUUUAGCAUUUUGUAUGUAUCAUGUACAUGCAUCACCCGAUGUACAUGUUUACUGAUUUAGUACAGUGUUUUUUUUUUUGCCUCUUCUCCUCUCUCUUCUGGCCUCAGGACAAGUUGUCUACAUACAUGUGGAUUUGGUGCUUUGUGUUUCUAACUGCUGACACUAUAGUACUCCUCUUAACAUAUCACUCUACCAUUAAAAUGAUUG